Varanus komodoensis (Komodo dragon) is the source of this 12506-nucleotide RNA transcript. It is a transcript of the gene named formin like 3, with no coding region annotated. The transcript has 27 exons. The record is from RefSeq and is a predicted model, not a curated record. NCBI's taxonomy places the organism in Eukaryota, Metazoa, Chordata, Lepidosauria, Squamata, Varanidae.
CUCCAUACGGACACCCAAGGAGGGCUGAGCCGUCCCCGCCUCCCCGGGAGCCGCCUGGGCCGGGGAUGGGGAACACGGAGAGCGGGGAGCCGGGCGGGGGGUCCGGGCUGCUGCCGCCCCCGCCCGGGAAGGUGCCCAUGCCGGACCAGGGGGAGCUCGAGGAGAGAUUCGCGAUGGUGCUGAGCUCUAUGAACCUGCCUCCCGACAAGGCCCGUCUCCUGCGACAGUAUGACAACGAGAAGAAGUGGGACCUCAUUUGUGACCAGGAAAGAUUCCAGGUGAAGAAUCCACCUCACACAUAUAUCCAGAAAUUGAAAAGCUUUCUUGACCCAGGAGUCACCCGGAAGAAGUUCCGUCGGAGAGUGCAGGAAUCUACCAAAGUGCUGAGGGAGCUGGAGAUCUCUUUAAGGACCAACCACAUUGGGUGGGUGCGCGAGUUUCUCAAUGAUGAAAACAAGGGCUUGGAUGUGCUGGUGGAUUAUCUCUCCUUUGCACAAUGUGCAGUGAUGUUUGAUUUUGAGGGUCUGGAAAGUGGCGAGGAUGGAGCACUAGAGAAGCUGAAAUCCUGGAGCAGGUCCAUAGAGGAUCUGCAGCACCCCAGCACCCUGUCUGCUCCCUACGCCAACAGUCUUGCUCGCUCUGCACGCCAGUCUGCUCUCCGAUACACUACCCUUCCCAGCAGGAAAGCCCUGAAGAACUCACGGCUAGUUAGCCAGAAGGAUGAUGUCCAUGUGUGUAUCCUGUGCUUGCGGGCCAUCAUGAACUAUCAGUACGGAUUCAAUUUGGUCAUGUCACAUCCUCAUGCUGUGAACGAGAUUGCCCUCAGUUUGAACAAUAAAAAUCCCAGGACUAAAGCUCUGGUGCUAGAACUGCUAGCUGCUGUCUGCUUGGUGCGUGGUGGCCACGAGAUCAUUUUGGCUGCCUUUGAGAACUUCAAAGAGGUUUGCAAAGAGCAACACCGCUUUGAGAAACUGAUGGAAUAUUUCCGCAAUGAGGACAGCAAUAUUGACUUCAUGGUAGCCUGUAUGCAGUUCAUCAACAUUGUGGUACACUCUGUUGAGGACAUGAACUUCCGGGUGCAUUUGCAAUACGAGUUCACCAAACUAGGUCUGGAAGAAUUCUUACAGAAGUCGAGGCACACAGAAAGUGAGAAGCUGCAAGUGCAGAUCCAGGCUUACCUGGACAACGUGUUUGAUGUGGGUGGGCUGCUGGAGGAUGCUGAGACCAAGAAUGUGGCACUGGAGAAAGUGGAGGAGUUAGAAGAGCACUUAUCACAUUUGACAGAAAAGCUGCUGGAUCUAGAGAAUGAGAAUAUAAUGCGAGUGGCAGAGUUGGAGAAGCAACUACUACAGCGGGAGAAGGAACUGGAGAUUGUCAAGGAGACCUAUGAAAGUGCCAGCAACCAAGUGCACACGCUGCGCAGAAUCAUCAAGGAGAAGGAAGAGGCUUUCCGGCGUCACUAUACCACCCACCCUGCUGGGAGCGACCACCUGCCGCUGCCGCCACCUCCGGAGGUGGAGAUCAACUUUAGCGACCUCCCCGAGGAUGACCUCCGCCUCCCCGUCCUGCCUCCCAUGGAGGCUGCUCCUCCACCUCCACCUCCUCCGCCACCUCUUCCCCCACCCCCUCCUCCGCUACCAGAUAAGUGUCCACCAGCCCCGCCACUUCCUGGCACAUCCCCCUCUGUGAUCCUCACUAUGGGCUUAUCAGCAAUCCGGAUUAAGAAGCCCAUCAAGACCAAAUUCCGCUUGCCAGUCUUCAACUGGACAGCACUGAAGCCCAACCAGAUCAGUGGCACUGUCUUCAGUGAACUGGAUGAUGAAAAGAUCUUGGAGGACCUUGACCUGGACAAGUUUGAAGAGCUCUUCAAGACCAAAGCCCAGGGCCCUGCCAUCGACCUCCUGUGCAAUAAGAACAAGGCGUCCCACAAAGCAGCCAGCAAGGUCACCCUGCUGGAGGCCAACCGGGCCAAGAACUUGGCCAUCACAUUGCGCAAGGCAGGCCGGAGCACGGAGGAGAUCUGCAAAGCCAUCCACACGUUUGACCUGAAGACACUACCAGUGGACUUUGUGGAGUGCCUCAUGCGCUUCCUGCCAACAGAGAACGAGGUCAAGCUGCUGAGGCAGUAUGAGAAGGAGCGGAAGCCGCUGGAAGAGCUGUCAGACGAGGACCGCUUCAUGCUCCACUUCAGCAAGGUUGAGCGCCUGACGCAGCGCAUGGCCAUUAUGGCUUUCCUGGGCAACUUCAGUGAAAACAUCCAGAUGCUCAUGCCGCAACUGAGCGCUAUCAUUGCCGCCUCAGCAUCAGUCAAGUCUUCGCAGAAGCUCAAGCGUAUGCUGGAGAUAAUCCUGGCCCUUGGCAACUAUAUGAACAGCAGCAAACGUGGCUCAGUUUAUGGUUUCAAAUUGCAGAGUCUCGACCUGCUCUUGGACACUAAGUCAACUGACCGGAAACUGACACUCCUGCACUUCAUUGCCAUGAUGGUGAAGGAGAAGUACCCAGAGCUGAGCACCUUCUGGCAAGAACUGCACUUUGUGGAGAAGGCAGCUGCAGUAUCGCUGGAGAAUGUGCUGCUGGAUGUCAAGGAGCUGGGGCGUGGGAUGGAGUUGAUCCGGCGAGAGUGCAGCCUGCACGAGCAUAGCAUCCUGCGGAGCUUCCUCAGCGCCAAUGAGGGGAAGUUGGACCGGCUGCAGAAAGACGCCAAGACCGCUGAGGAGGCCUACAACACCGUCGUGCGCUAUUUUGGCGAGAGCCCCAAGACAACACCCCCCUCCGUUUUCUUCCCAGUCUUUGCACGCUUCAUCCGAUCCUACAAGGAUGCAGAGCAGGAGAACGAGCUACGCAAGAAGCAGGAGCAGGCCCAAAGGGAGCAAGCCCUGGCCCAGGAAGCCAAGCGGCUGGAGAAGCGCAAUAAGUGGCAGCAGCAGGAGCUGAUCGCUGAGCUGAGGCGGCGCCAGGCCAAGGACCACCGGCCUGUCUACGAAGGCAAAGAUGGGACCAUUGAGGAUAUCAUCACAGUGUUGAAGAGCGUCCCCUUCACUGCCCGCACAGCGAAGCGGGGGUCUCGCUUUUUCUGCGAGCCAUCCCACCAUGACGAGCCUAACUGUUAGCUCCACUCUCUCCCGCCCUGCCAAAGGUACCCGUGGAACGUCGCCUCCCCUUCUGCAUGCGGUUCCUCCUCCCCACGGAGCCUGGGCUUCCCCCCCUGCCUGCCUUGCUAUGUCUCCUCCCAUGAGCUCAGGGCUUCUCAACUUCUCCUCGCUUCUGGAGAGCCGCCCUCGGUCUCCGCAGGCGUAGGGCCACUCUGCUGCCCUGGCAGUGUUCCUCAGGAAGCCGGACGGCACCGGAGGCCUCUGUGAGCAGUUCCUUCCAGGAUGCCUGCCCGCUCCCACUAGGGUGGCCGGAAGUGCAAGGCAGGGCUCCAGCGCCUCUCAGCAGUUGUGUCAAAGCAGGGCAAUUUCAGCAGGGGCAGCUUCUUCGCACUUUUAUGCGACGAGCCACACCUGCCAGAAUCCCUUCUUUUUGCAGAAUUCUGAAAAGGGGUACGAGGAUUUCUGUCUGAUCAGCGGAGCAAACUGCAUCUCAUCGUUGUACAAUUUCACGGUUCUCUUUGCUAACAUGAGGGUUAGAAACAUGCUGAUCGUUUCAAAGGAAGCAGAAAAUGGAAUGCUUUUUAAAAAGAGGGCCAUUGAGUCCCCCCCAAAUGCCUGCUCACAUCCGCGUCCUCCUCAUGGUUGAGAAUCCCUGCAUGGAAUCAGAGGAACCUCCCGCAUGUGUCGUUCGGGGCAUGGUUGGCAUGAUGAGGUGGGCACGGAAGCCCCGUCCAGAUUUGCAUGCCUCGUUCUGCGGUUCGUCGGUGGGGCUGCCUUAUCAUCACACUAAUGCAGUAGAGUAGCUUACUAAAUCUUCUCUUGGUUUAUGGGGUUGGGGGUGUCAUGUGGCUUGCUGAUGUCCAAAUGCUGGGUGGGGUGGAAACGACAUGUCCCAUUUGUAUGAAGAAAGCCACAGAUACUUUGCUCCAGAACACAGGGCCCAAGCACCUAUUUACUGGCAGGUAUCUCUUAUGGUAAAGCUUUCCCUAGGCUAGCGCUGGGCAGCAGGACUCCAGAGGUCGAGUUCAAGCCCCUAGAAUGCCCCUGGGGCCACACUUUCAUCCCACAGCUUGCUUCAUAGCUAAAUUUAUCCCUUUUGGCCACUCUAGUGGUCUGCCACUGAAAUUCAGUGGCAAGCAGUGCAUUGUUUUAAUGACACCACUGCAGCAAAUACUGUGCUGCCCUCUGUGGCACUUAAAGCCAGGGCAAGCACGGGGCUCACAGACUAGGUGUCGCCCAGCUUUGCGUUGGCUCUGCCAUUUCAGGUUGCAGGAGAGAGGGUGCCUGAUUGAUUACCCACUGUGUCCUUGCACACAGAAAAAUAGCAUGCUGCACCGAACUCGUUUCUGAAGCCUUGUGGCUUUCUGAAUUUUUGUGGAUUGCAUUCAAAGGGCUGCAGUCAGCAUAAGCCCAAACUAUUCAGGGCUUGUCCACACACUGACAUCCAGCACUGCCAUGCGAGACAUGCCCCGUGGCCCCGUUUUCCUCGGGAAUCUCCAUGCAGCUGCAGUGGCGGUACUCUCCUCUUUGAGGCACUUGGCCAAACAAGGCAGACUGGAGCUUGGUGAAGCCGUGGUGCAUGUGGACCGUGGAGAAUCAAAUGCACCACUUAAACGCAUCUGGUUCUCAUUGCUAACAACGCGUGGGCUGAACUGGAAGUCAGAGGCUGGGCGCUGGGGGGUUUGGCGAGAAGAGUGCCGUGCUGCCAUCUGCAAUUGCCCCCCACCCCACCAGCAAUCGGGUGAGCUAGUCCCACGGCAGUGCUUCUCUAGAUUCUGUGUAUCCUGACAAGGCCAGCCAGGUGAAGACAGAUUCCACUGGGGAGAGGCAUAGGCCCCCUCCCCAGUUUGGCCUAAUUUUUGUUUUUAAUCUCCUCCCUAACAGCAAGAACCUCCCCAAUUUGGCCUAAUUUUUGUUUUUAUCCCCUCCAUAGCAGCAAGAACCAUCCGCCUCUAGUUCCCUCUCAGUUCAUCUGCGGGAGCCCUGCCUGUCCUGCUGUUCAGCCGGCUGAUGCUGCAUUCCAAUGGCUCAGGCCCAGUUCUGUUUUGCCAAAGAACCAGCUUCCAUCCUUCCGAAGAUUUUCUAAUGGAAGAACCAAAGGGACCUUUAGGAAGUGCCUUACUGCAACAGUAUUAUUGUUAUUCUCUUAUUAUUUAAGAUGUAUUUUUUAAUCUGUACAUAUAUGACAAUUCCCAUCAGCCCUUGCUUUUGCUGCCUCUUCCUGAGUCAGCCCCAAAAGACAAGACUGUUCUGGCUCUUGAGUAGUGCCUUCCGCCAGCAGAUGGCUGACUUCCCCUUCGAGAGCCUCAGUCCUUUGAGCAUCCGGACCAGAAUUGCACUUUGACCUCUCAGCAACUUGUCUUUAGCGGAUGGAGACGAUGGACACCGUCAUGUUUCAGUCCUGACACUUUGCAACUGGGGGUGGGGGUGAUUUUUGGUAGGAGACUUUAGUGUCUGGCGCUGGUCUUACAGGCCUGCAGUGCUUUUCCAGGAGCUGCCUUCUGCAAUACUGCUGUGGUCUUCUCAGAUCAGGCCAUCAGCUGGCAUUAAAGUGUUUAAACGCGAGGCUGAGCUGGCCUUUGAAAAACCACUGGAACCUUUCUUCAAAAGGGAAAACCUUCAGACCAAUGUUUCAUAUCACAACUGCACAAAGUAACCCCGGUUGUUGGCGCACCAGGGAGCAACUGUGGUGACCCAGUUCUUGAUGAUCACAAGGAGGAUCCUGGGUAGGUCAAAGGCUGCUUUUGACAUUGCCCAAGAUUUUUUUUAUACUAUUAUGAUUAUUUGUACUAUUAUUUUCCAAAGGACCAAAAUCUGUUUCGACUUUGUUGUGGUAUUUUAUAGAAACAUCUUUUCUCAUUUAUUGGACCAACUGCCAUUAACACUUUACAAGGCUAUUUGAUAUGCUUGUUAUGUUCCCAUGAAGUCCUGAGUACAAGCACCAGUGGCUAAGACAUGUACAGCUGUGUCCCUCAUGGGGGCCAGAGCAAGACUUUUGAUACCUUUGCUACCUGAGGUGAAAAAGCUAAACUUUGAUCAGACUCUUCCCCAUAGAGCUGGAUGCUGUCUGACAGGUAACAAAUAAUAAUAACUUUUUCAAAAAGUGAGGGAUUAGCAUGAGGGGAGCCAUUUUGAGUUUGCUGAUGGCUGACAGAGAUUGCUGCUGAUUAACAUGAACAGAACCCACCAGACAGUUCCCAGUGCAAGUCUCAUUGAAAGAAGUCAGGAGUCUUGCACUGAAGAACAUUCCAGUAGGUAUUACCUCAAGAGUCAUGUUGGUUUGCUCUCUGCUCUUCCACCUUUAAGGGCGCCACAGAUCUGCUGCUUCAGUUGCACCAUGGUUAAGACCAUUCUGGUCCUUGUAGCAUUUGCAGCCAUUGCUGCAUUGACACCUGACAACUGUAGGCCUGCAGUUCUGGCCACAGUGCUUCUCAAGACAAUCAGAGCAAGGGGACAGACUUUGUCUCCUCUGAAACCCGCAUGGAUGGAUGGAUGGAUGCGUUUUUUGACCAAAGUUAUUUGCCCAUAAGGUAUUAGAGCUGCAGAUCUUGUUAGGAUAAAGCCAUUUGAUAAUGAAAGCAGAACUGUUUCUUCAAUUGUUUGUAUGUUUGUUUUAAUUCAGGGAAGCUACUUGUCUCCUUCAAAUUUUUAGCUACUUUCUGGAACGAGGUUAUGCUAAAGAGGUUUCUAUAAGCCCCUAAAGAGACCAUUAAGGACUGGUUCCAGCAGAAUAUUAUGGCAUUUUCUUUGAUCCUGUGUAAGUUUAAAUGCACAUGUCAUUGCAAGCCCAACCCAGGUGCGGACCCUGUUAUAGAUGGGUCUCAUUUGCAGGCUAAGAACUAUGGCUUCAGCCUCACAGAAGGGCAUUUGCACAGCACAGUGCUCCUGUGUGACUUUGGUCCCUUAAGCCUGUGCAAAGAUCAUCAGGAUUGCCAAGGACACGCGGCAUCCUGGUCACCUGGACAUGGGAGGAAUUGGCGCAAGCACUCCGUCAAGGGAGGCUCAGGAAGUCCUGAUCGGUCAUGCCUGUGGAAGGCAGAGCUGCUUGCAGCUGUCGGCCAAGUUUGUCCUGCCAGGAGUGUCUCCUGCUGUGGGGCCUUUUGUGUCUAGAUCAGGUGAAAGAAAUGCCAUGGCGUCUGCUGGGGGCCCCCCGUGAGGCCCAGGAAAAUGUGGCUCUGCAGCGUAUGUCUUGCACUCUUCUCAGCUUAUGCCAGUGGGUUUGCAUCCUGUCCAAAGGCAGCCUCAGCUCUGCUACUGAGGAACAUACCCCGCCUGUUGCUUCAGGGGAGCUCAGCGGCACUGUUGGGCCACAUGCUUUGCAGGCAUUUGCUCCCGGGCUCAAGCCCCAGGUGCUUUGUGUAGAAGGAUCUCAGGUGAAAGUACUGGGAAGGAGCACUCCCUGACCUUGGAAAGCUGCUGCCAGUCAGAGCAGGCAGUACAAGGCGGACCAGCAGUUGGACGUGCAUGCUCAUCUGCCUGUGGUUACACAGAAUGAAGGGCUACUAAUGUAAAAGAUGCUUUCUCCCAAGUAAGAGGGCACAGGACUGCAGCAUUAGAAGGAGACCCGGCCCUUCCAUUGGGAUUUAGGACACAGCACAGCAAAGCUGAAUAGAUUGUAGAGAAUUUCGGGGCUCUGCAAAACAGAACAUUCUUCUUUCACCAACAGAACUAGCAGGUUCUAGGCCUCCCUCCCUCCAUUCCUUCCUUUUGUGUCAUUGUAUGCUGGGUUUAUUUUGCCUUUUAUUUCUUGCCAGUGAAUAUGAAAGUUUGAAAAACAGUUUUCAUAAAAUUUGAAGUCAAACCUUUUAAAUAUUCCAAGGAACUUCCAAAAUUACCUUCUUGGGCAAAAACAGCAUUCAGGUUUUGAAGCACAGUAUUCAAAGAAAAUCCCCCAAAUCCAGCACCCACAUCCACUUCAACAUGGAAAUGUGACUUACAUCACUUGCAUCAAAGAUGCAGGCACCUGAAGCCUGGGCAGAAUGGAGGCUGCUACUCUUUACUUGCAAAGAGUCUUCCUUACCUCAUUGUCCUCAACUGUGUUUGCUACCAUUGGACUGGGACCUUCUCCAUUAAUAUCAACCACUCCUGCUCAAUAACUGGAGGGACUAUGUGACCGAGCCCUUAGAGUGUUGGAUAAUCUGCUUAAUUCAAAAGGCUGCUUACUUUUCUUGAAAAUAAUUGUCUAUAUCAUGGGACAUGUGUUAAAGCCAAUAACGAGCUGCCUCUGCUCUGCGGCUGUUUCCUUGUUGCAGACGUGGAGCUAAACAUGCUUGGAAAGGUACAUACCCCCUCCCACCUCCUCCUCUUCCUGCUCCUCUAUUAAUGGAGUAAGGAGAGGCAGAACAGUUCCUCACAUCUUUUUUGCAUAUUCCUGAUAACAUCAUCCUGACAUUAAUGCCAUUUCUACUCAGGAGAUGAGAACGAGCAGCACUCCUCUGUGAAGUGCUGCAGAUGGGCAGCAGUGCAUUCCUGAAUCAGAGCAUGGGCCUGUGUUUUGUUUUCAACAGUGGCCAGCCAGAGGCCUUUCAAAAGCUCUCUGUAGAUACAUAUCCAUGAUUGCUCAGCAAAUACGAUUACUCCUUACUGCCCUUUCAUGCAGUUUGUAAAUAACUGUUGCAUCCAGAUGAUACUCCAGCAGAUAAUUUUGGGCAGGGCUGGUUCAAGUGUCAAAAGACAGGCUUAAAUAGUUAAGACUAACACUUGUACUUCUGGUGGGCUAAUAGCUUUUAUAGACCUUAUUGCCAAAGAUGCUUUUAGCUACACAAUAAUGCUAAAAAAAACAAAAACUGGAAACACAAGUGAUAGAUUUCCCUAUCGUAUCGGUGUUAUAGGCUGAGUGGAAGUUCAGAUCCUUGUUGCUCGUUAGUUUUUCUGGGUUAGUAAUCUAAAUAAUGUCUCCGUGUGCUCAGUGCUCCCUCAGAAUCAGCAGGCAAUGCUCUCGGAGUGUUAAGGCUGUGGUUGUCGCCAUUGUGGGGUGGGCAGCCGCAGAGACAAGGGCUUCUGCUGAGGAUUUUCAAGAGUGCUCCGCCCUGAUCUGUCGCUUGACCUCAGCAAGUCACGCAGGCCCUUGUCUGAACGGUUCAGCGAGUGAGACAGACGCUGCGUAGCAAAGGAAAGCAGCAGGGCUUGCCCCCUCUUUUUGUGCCUGUGCCUGUUGGAGCAUGUGUGGCCAGUUGCAUCGUAUGGCAUGUGAUUUGCGAACAAAGGCCCGCUCUCCCUGGGCCUGGCAAACGCAGCAGGAAAGUGCAUGGGGGCAAGGAUACGCCAAAGCUCAGUAGCGAAACCUGAGCAGGAGUGCAUGGAACAGAGCAGUGGGCCAUGGGGGAAUCGUGUGUGCGUGCGUGCAUCCCUCUCUAGCAGGGGUGCAAAAUCACUGCUUCCCGGGUGGUCAGAAGUAUACAGAUGCUUUGUAAUGUCAGAGAGAACCAUGGGAUUCAAGUACCAAGGUGAUUGUGUGUGUGUGUGUGUGUUGCAAGCCCAAAUUCCUUGUCCGGUCAGAUGGCCUUGGACAAGUUGAUGUCAUUUGGAUCACUCAAGCACUCCAGGGAUUUGGAAGACAUAAUCAGUAGGCAAAGUCUACAAUAGGGGAUGAGACAAAGGGCUGUAAUGGUGCAGUUGUUUGCACAGGAUGAGGUUAGGAAGGCUGAUGAUGAAAGGUUUUUCCUUCAGAAUCUGCGCAGCAUCCAACAGCAUGCUGAUAUCUCAGGGAAAUCGGGGCAAGCAGCAAACAUUAUUGAUGUUGCGCUACAGAAGGUUACACUAGUGCAACACAAUUUCUUUUAGCAGUCACAGCCUGUUGGAUACUGCCCUCUGAUGCUGAUCUCACUGGACUAGCCCAGCAUGUAUAUUUUCAGUUUCUGCAAAGUGUGGGAAACUGUGCUGAAGAAUUCCACAUAUCCAAAGGAACACAAAUUUGUACACAUUGCAAAUCCCAUUGGUUACACAUAGGUUAGGUGGAACAGAGGAAGAAACAUGUCUUAAGUUACUCCUGUUCCACUAGUCAGAGCAGACUUUAGGGGGUUAGUCCCACAUGCCUGUGGCACAUGGGGUGCCACCUUUUCUAUUGACAGAAGCUUUGUUUAAUCUGUGCGUGUUACGUAAAAAUUUAGCACUUUUCCCUUUUCGCUAGGCAUGGAAUUGCAGCAAUAUAAAUUACGAUGAUGCUUCUGGGAAUGGGCUGUAAGUGAAGCAUUUCUACAGGAAGCCAUGCAUAGCGAUGGAUCUGUCUCACACACAUGUGAAAAAGUCCACCCAAGCUGAGUUCCGGGCUUGCCAGAAUGAAAGCAAGCCCCGAAGCUGCCUGUGCCAACCACAUUUGAGCCAUGGAGGAGACCAUGCAGGCCAAAGGAGGUAUUCUGCCAGGGUACCUGCAAAGGCAGCAUCACAGGGCCCUGGGCAGAACAGCUUAACUUGGCCACAAUAAGGAUUGCCAUGGCCCUGGCCAGUUGGGGUGGCUUGAUCCCAAGUUGCGGUCUCUGGGAUAGUUCCUGCCCUGGAGUUUUCGCCCUCCUCCCUUGCCCUCUGGCGGGCAGGAAUGUUUAGUCAUCUCACAGCAAGAGGACGGGUGAAAGGCAGUGAGCUGCCUUGGGGGUGCCUUGCAGGAGCAAAAGGGGCUGAGCCCUUCCUGCACAGAAAGGCCUGGCAGGCUGAAGGCAGGGGAAGAGCAGCGAGCUGCGGAACAGUGGGCUUGAGGGAGAGGGACUGUGCAGCACUUAUUUAGAAGAGGUAGGUUAAAUAUCAAAAAGAUAGUGGGAGUCAUGAAUAGCGUGUGUGGGUGUGAGAGAGAGAGUGGAGGGAACCCAAUUCGGUUGAUGUAUUUCUAAGUAACAGGUUUGGAAGGAGUGCAUUUUGAGCAAUGCAAAGACUCAGAGCGACUCAACAUCCCGAGCAGUGCUGUUUCAAUCUUAGGCAGUUUUGGGGGAGUGGUAGAAAAGUAGGGAGGUACCUGUAGAAACCAAAAGUGUGCCCCAAAAUCCCCUGCAGAGCUAGAGAGGAAGCUGGGUUGAUGCUAUCUUUUUGCCUGUCUGUCCAUGACUAGUUGAAUGGCUGGAUAAGCCUCAAGUCUGAUUACUUGGAUCUAGAUCUCCUCACUUUUAGAUCAAUACUUUAUUCACGAUCCCAACUUGUUCUGACAACAGAGCCUGUUCACACAGGUCACUUUGUGAAUGCUGCAUGACGUGUGUGUUUCAGGCAGCCAGCCUGCCCUCACUAAGCCCCUUUGAAUGCUGGAUAGAUAUGCACUGUGAAUGGACAACCCUUGAUCCACCGCAGAAUAUAUGAUCUCAAACGGGAUAUGUUGUGAUCCUUCCACUUGCAGCUGCUCCUCAAGUGCUGAGUAACCAAUGUGUUAGCUACUACAGCACAUCACUACUCCUUACAUAGAGGCAGCUGCAGGAUACAGCUCAUUUCCUCUGAGGCACCCACAGCUGCAUGCAAACAUCUCUUCCCUGCCUAUUCUAAAGUCAAAAGGCCAGUGUGAAGUAGCCUGAAGUGACGGGCCAGUUAGCAAUCCGGAAUACCCAAGGGAGUUUCAGGGCUUCUAAACCUGACGCUUGAACCACCAUGUCAUCGGUAGCUCUCAGCACCUCUCUGAAUCCUGGAUGCCAGGGACAAGGUCCAGUGCAAACGCAGUGCCCUUUUUGUGGGCUUCCUUCCAUGGAGACAUCUGGCUGGCUGCACUUGAGCACAGAAUGCUGGGCGCAAUGGUCCCUGCUCUGUGCCAGUGUCAGAGGCGGGCGUAUGAUCCAGAGCUCCUCUGAGAACAGUGGCACUUCAGGUGAACCAAAUGCACACAUCAUCGGAGAUGUUGCAUCGUGAUUCUUGCAAACUUGAGGUGAGGGGUGGCUGGUUCACAUUUUAAUUUUCUGGUCGGGGUCAAGCAUCUUGUCUUCCUGCUUCGUUUAGCCAAGGCACACAUGAAACACUGCCAUGUGCUGUAGAACAAGGUGUUUUCCUUUUCCGGCAUGGAACUGUGAGUGCUAAGUGUAAAAAAAAGCCAGGGGUGAAAUGUCCCUAGGGACAGGUAGCAAAGAACAUUAUGACAAUGCUAAUUGGGAUGGAGCAGGAGACUGGCCAGCAGCCUUCAUUUGGGUUUGUGAGGCAAACGCUCUUCCCUCCCAUCUCCCCAAGAAGCCAAAGGGACCCCCCCCCCCCCGCUCCCUGCACCAAGGCCCUUUCUGCAGCUGGUGGGCAAGGCUAAAUCCAAGCAGGAAGGGCCUUCUUGGUGUUGCUUCCAGACAGUUUACAGCAUAUCCAUUCCAAUGUAGUCCUUUUGUGUAGUUAGAUGGAACAAUUUUUUGUACAUGUGAAAUAUUAUUGACUGUAUUGUAAGCCAGUGCCUCCCUCUGCCUCACUUUGAACUGUACAGAAUUUCUACUAAUGGGAGAGGGGAAAAUAAAAGAAACAAUGCAAACA